RNAcentral lists this unclassified non-coding RNA (370 nucleotides) under uncultured Glomeromycotina. RNAcentral describes it as "sequence contains ITS1". The stretch from base 1 to 100 matches the Rfam family "5.8S ribosomal RNA", at positions 50 to 154 of the family's 154-position model. The record is from RNAcentral. Lineage: Eukaryota; Fungi; Glomeromycota.
GAAAUGCGAUACGUAGUGUGAAUUGCAGAACUUUGUGAACCAUCGAAUCUUUGAACGCAAAUUGCGCCCUUGUUUAGAGGGCAUGUCUGUUUGAGGGCCACCUUAAUCAAAUAAUGCACGCGCAUGUGGUGCACGUUGAUGGACUUUCCGACGAAUCUACAUCUGUGGACGACGUCGGUGGUUCGUAAUGAAGACGCGACGUGUGGAGGCUUUCGAUCGAGUGUAGUAAACAUGCAAUGAUUUCGACGCUUGAUGGUUGGGAGUCUUCGGUCGCGAUACGGGCGUGGCGACGAACUGCCACUCUUCCCCUCGGGAAGACUACAUUUUUCUCGUGGGCCUCAAAUCAGACAAGAAUACCCGCUGAACUUAA